GAUGAACGCUGGCGGCGUGCCUAAUACAUGCAAGUCGAGCGAACAGACGAGGAGCUUGCUCCUCUGACGUUAGCGGCGGACGGGUGAGUAACACGUGGAUAACCUACCUAUAAGACUGGGAUAACUUCGGGAAACCGGAGCUAAUACCGGAUAAUAUAUUGAACCGCAUGGUUCAAUAGUGAAAGACGGUUUUGCUGUCACUUAUAGAUGGAUCCGCGCCGCAUUAGCUAGUUGGUAAGGUAACGGCUUACCAAGGCAACGAUGCGUAGCCGACCUGAGAGGGUGAUCGGCCACACUGGAACUGAGACACGGUCCAGACUCCUACGGGAGGCAGCAGUAGGGAAUCUUCCGCAAUGGGCGAAAGCUUGACGGAGCAACGCCGCGUGAGUGAUGAAGGUCUUCGGAUCGUAAAACUCUGUUAUUUGGGAAGAACAAAUGUGUAAGUAACUAUGCACGUCUUGACGGUACCUAAUCAGAAAGCCACGGCUAACUACGUG
Molecule: ribosomal RNA, 497 nt
Filed under: uncultured bacterium
Lineage: Bacteria
Description: partial 16S ribosomal RNA
Rfam family: Bacterial small subunit ribosomal RNA
Source: RNAcentral